GAGUUUGAUCAUGGCUCAGAUUGAACGCUGGCGGCAGGCCUAACACAUGCAAGUCGAGCGGCAGCACGGGUACUUGUACCUGGUGGCGAGCGGCGAACGGGUGAGUAAUGCCUAGGAAUCUGAAAAAAAAAAAAGGGAUAACGCUCGGAAACGGACGCUAAUACCGCAUACGUCCUACGGGAGAAAGCAGGGGACCUUCGGGCCAAAAAAUAUCAGAUGAGCCUAGGUCGGAUUAGCUAGUUGGUGAGGUAAUGGCUCACCAAGGCGACGAUCCGUAACUGGUCUGAGAGGAUGAUCCAGUCACACUGGAACUGAGACACGGUCCAGACUCCUACGGGAGGCAGCAGUGGGGAAUAUUGGACAAUGGGCGAAAGCCUGAUCCAGCCAUGCCGCGUGUGUGAAGAAGGUCUUCGGAUUGUAAAGCACUUUAAGGGGGGAGGAAGGGCAGUUACCUAAUACGUAUCUGUUUUGACGUGACCGACAGAAUAAGCACCGGCUAACUCUGUGCCAGCAGCCGCGGUAAAGGGCG
This 529-nucleotide ribosomal RNA is filed under the name uncultured Pseudomonas sp. Its description in RNAcentral is "partial 16S ribosomal RNA". It matches the Rfam family "Bacterial small subunit ribosomal RNA", at positions 9 to 527 of the family's 1533-position model. The record is from RNAcentral. Lineage: Bacteria; Pseudomonadati; Pseudomonadota; Gammaproteobacteria; Pseudomonadales; Pseudomonadaceae.